RNAcentral lists this ribosomal RNA (497 nucleotides) under uncultured bacterium. RNAcentral describes it as "partial 16S ribosomal RNA". It matches the Rfam family "Bacterial small subunit ribosomal RNA", at positions 28 to 507 of the family's 1533-position model. The record is from RNAcentral.
GAUGAACGCUGGCGGCGUGCCUAAUACAUGCAAGUCGAGCGAACAGAUGAGGAGCUUGCUCCUCUGACGUUAGCGGCGGACGGGUGAGUAACACGUGGAUAACCUGCCUAUAAGACUGGGAUAACUUCGGGAAACCGGAGCUAAUACCGGAUAAUAUAUUGAACCGCAUGGUUCCAUAGUGAAAGACGGUUUUGCUGUCACUUAUAGAUGGAUCCGCGCCGCAUUAGCUAGUUGGUAAGGUAACGGCUUACCAAGGCAACGAUGCGUAGCCGACCUGAGAGGGUGAUCGGCCACACUGGAACUGAGACACGGUCCAGACGCCUACGGGAGGCAGCAGUAGGGAAUCUUCCGCAAUGGGCGAAAGCCUGACGGAGCAACGCCGCGUGAGUGAUGAAGGUCUUCGGAUCGUAAAACUCUGUUAUUAGGGAAGAACAAAUGUGUAAGUAACUAUGCACGUCUUGACGGUACCUAAUCAGAAAGCCACGGCUAACUACGUG